Long non-coding RNA from Panonychus citri (citrus red mite), 1474 nucleotides. RefSeq lists it as uncharacterized. The record is from RefSeq and is a predicted model, not a curated record. The transcript has 3 exons. Lineage: Eukaryota; Metazoa; Arthropoda; Arachnida; Trombidiformes; Tetranychidae.
GAGAAAAGAAUAAAAAAAAUUUCUAUUCUCUUUCACGUGUUUUCUUCGUUAAUCCUUUUUCUCUGCUCGUGUUAAUACUUUUCGUUUCUUUUCUAUUCAUGUUUUCUCUCUCUCUCUCUCUCUCUCUUUCACCAUCAUCAUCUCAUAUUCUAUUCCAUUUAAAUUGUAAUCACGUUUUCCAAGGAUUUUUCGUUCAGUGUGUUAAUCAUAAAGACUCUCAGUUGCAAAUUAGAUUCUCUCUCAGAUCCUAUAGUAACAACUACAUGUAAUUAGUUGGAUGCAUGAGGUUUGGACGAAAACGGAUGAAAUUUUUACUAUUUACAAAUAGAAUUGAAAAAUCAACGUGAUGCUUUCAAUCCAAUUAACUAUUGAAUAUUUACGUGAUUAUUUGGUUAAAUUGACUUGAUUUUCAACGUGAAUCCAUAAACUUUGUCUUAUCCGUUUCAGUUUUACCUGCGAUUCAAUCAAUUCAAACUGACCAUUCCAUCGGUUCAUUUUUGUUUUCUCAACUGAAUAGAUUCUGUUGAAUAGAUGAACAUGUUGAUAGGAUAAUAUUUUCCAUGAAAUGAGUUGAUUCAAUUACAAUUCCCUUCAAUCAGUUCAUCUCAUAUUCAAAGGGAGGAAAUUUGUUGCUAUUUCAAUUGAUUAUUGCUACAAAUUGGCUUCUUAUUGAUUAAUAUGAACCAUUUUUCUUACUGUAAUUUGAAAAUGAAACCGAUUUGUGAUAAUUAUCAUUUCAUCAACGAUUGAUUUUCCAAUUUCUUACUAAUCACUUUUGCUACUUCUAGUUAAUCAUCACCAUUAUAAUUAUUACUACAUUAUUAACGAAACAAGAUUACAAUCUUUCAUAAUUGGCCUUGUUGUAAUCGCCGAUGGCUUAGAUCAAUUAUGAAAGCGAACUCGGUAAAUGAUCAACAUGAUUAAUCUCAUAUUUAUAAAUUGAUCAGUUAUUAAUAAUCGCAAUUCAAUUUAACCAACAUAUUAAUAGACUAAAAAUAUUACACUUUGUUUGUUUAAUAUUAGUUUAAAUUAAAACGCAAUUUAGGUUAAUCAAAACGAUGACAAUUUCAAGUCAAUACUCUGAUUAGUAAAUUUGCUUAACUUCAUUUUCCCUUAAUUAACAGCAUCGUAAUCAGAUUGUAAUAUAAUUAUGUAACUGGUUAACUAUCAAUCAACAAAUGGAUCUAAAUGAUUAAUACAUUAAAUCAUUUAGUGUUUUCAACGUGUCGGAAUAUUUAAUAUUCCCAAUGGUCACAAUGGAUUAAUCCGUAGGAUAAAUUGACCGUUGGUCAGUUUGUUACAAUUGAUAAAUUUGGUAAAGUUAAUUUACCAAAAUCCGAUCAAAUUGAUUACCUUUUAUGUCAACAAUUAGUUUGCCAUUUUCUUUCUUGGUAAAUCAUUUGAUCCAUUGGACAAUUUUGAUGAAUUUAAAAGCCAUUUAAAGUUACAUCACAAUUCAAAUGGACUCACAAUU